RNAcentral lists this transfer RNA (41 nucleotides) under Amphidium lapponicum. RNAcentral's name for it is "partial tRNA-Phe". It matches the Rfam family "tRNA", at positions 1 to 40 of the family's 71-position model. Rfam says of the family: Transfer RNA (tRNA) molecules are approximately 80 nucleotides in length. Their secondary structure includes four short double-helical elements and three loops (D, anti-codon, and T loops). The record is from RNAcentral. RNAcentral also lists the same sequence under 14 other names. Lineage: Eukaryota; Viridiplantae; Streptophyta; Bryopsida; Orthotrichales; Orthotrichaceae.
GCCGGAAUAGCUCAGUUGGUAGAGCAGAGGACUGAAAAUCC